GGCGCGUUCAGACCACUCUCCGCCGCCGGCGAGUUUCCUCCUUUCCGUCUCCUUCUCCGGCAAAUCAAGUGUGUCAGGCUUGGUGAAUGACAAGAUGAACACUGCAACAUCAUUAUUUAGGAGGUUAAACAUCAGAGAUCUGGUAUCAAGAACACCUACGUAUAGUGCCCCUAGUGAUAUAUCUGGGGAUGGAUUGAGCUUGAUGUUUAAACGUUGGGCUACGAAAAAGACAGCAGGAUCCACAAAGAAUGGCCGUGAUUCAAAACCAAAGAAUCUAGGAGUCAAGAAAUUUGGGGGGGAGAGAGUGAUUCCAGGAAAUAUCAUUGUUCGUCAAAGGGGAACCCGGUUUCAUCCUGGGAACUAUGUUGGAAUUGGGAGAGAUCACACACUUUAUGCUUUGAAAGAAGGCUGUGUUAAAUUUGAGCGCCACAAGCUGAGUGGGCGCAAAUGGGUGCAUGUUGAGCCCAAGGAUGGUCAUGUGCUUCACCCAGUCUACUCAAGCACUACAGCUUCCGAGUCAAAGACAGCCACUUAAGUUUUUCUGAUUUGUCAACUGUUGAGUGAUUCAUGGAGCACAGAUCUAACAAGUGUUAAGCCACUAUAAAGGCUGUCUCGUUUUUUUAUCUUUUAGGUCACUUGAUUUAAAGAAAAUAUUUAAAAGAUUAGUCAAUGAAUGGAUGUUCUGCCGUUAUUUUUGACAAA
RNAcentral lists this unclassified non-coding RNA (702 nucleotides) under Hevea brasiliensis (rubber tree). Lineage: Eukaryota; Viridiplantae; Streptophyta; Magnoliopsida; Malpighiales; Euphorbiaceae. The record is from RNAcentral.